AGUAACAUAGAAUGUUGAUUGUCCUGAGUUCCAGAGCCUCAAAGAGCACCCAGCAUAACUGUGGGAGAAUAGUAAGCAUUGGACACAAAAUGGUUUAGGCAAAUAAUGAUGAACAAAAAUGGUCAGUCUGUGUUCCUGCUGACCCAGCACAGUGGGGACGCUGUGUAGGACAUGACCUUUGGGGGAAAGGACACAAGAACUCAGCGUGGGGGAUCCAGAAAAGAAGUCGCACGUAUUGAAGCCAGUAACGCCAAGCCAGUGAAUUCUCCUUGACGAGAAAGACCCACUUACUCUGCAGAAGAGAUAUAUGACAGCUGACAAUCCCUGGAGGAGAAUCUUUCUACUAAAUUGGUAAGGGAUGCUAAGCAAAUGAUGUGGACUCAGGAAACAACGCAUUUCAUGAUAUACGGUUGCCUCUCAAGGUGAAUUCGAGACCCCUCUUGAAUUACAAAGAGUUGAAAACAUUCAAGUACGGAAUAAACUAUUACUGCGAAUACGCUCAUAUGACACAAGAACAAUCUCUGAGCUUCUUUGAGGAUGUCCAGAUGACUGCUGACUGCACUAAUUGCAUCAAUCGUGUAUCCAUACAGGUUCUUUCUAUAAAAUAGUGGUCGCUAGUUAUGAGGCGUUAAGCCUUCAUGGAUAUAAACAGACUAUUCCACCUAAGUGAUCUGGCAGAAGCUUAGUUUUCUACCACAACAUCCACCGUCCUCCCUCCCUCCCUUCCUAGCUGGUCAGAAAAGCUACUCAGAAUAAAGACUACAUUUCCCAGCCAUCUUUGCAGCUAGGUUUAUCCACCUGACUAAAUUCCACCGAACUGAUCCGAGAGGACAGGGAAGUCAGUGUGGGCGGCUCUAAGGAGCCUCCCUCUCUACAGCUGCGGCUCAGAGGAUUACGGCGCUUCAUCCACAAGGCAACAUUGCACAAGUAGCUUUUGAACAAAAGUCAUGGAUACUAUUAAUGAUAUGGUAAUCCUUAAUCGAGCUACCUCCCAGUAGUGAUUAUACUGACAUGGGAAGAAUAUCUAAGUCGUGGAGGCAGCCCACAACAACACUGUGUCAUUGUUCACCCCGGGCUCGACCAGGACUAACUUUUACCAGCAUCUCUAACGUCACCUUUCCCCUGAUGCCUCCCCACAACCCCUGGCCCCAGCUCCCAUUCCCGCCCCAUCAUAGCAAAAAAGUAGCAAAGAAAACCCUGAUCCUAAA
Long non-coding RNA from Homo sapiens (human), 1208 nucleotides. Ensembl annotates it as long intergenic non-protein coding RNA 2436. Lineage: Eukaryota; Metazoa; Chordata; Mammalia; Primates; Hominidae. The record is from Ensembl.